This 465-nucleotide ribosomal RNA is filed under the name Vreelandella stevensii. RNAcentral's name for it is "partial 16S ribosomal RNA". It matches the Rfam family "Bacterial small subunit ribosomal RNA", at positions 338 to 795 of the family's 1533-position model. Lineage: Bacteria; Pseudomonadati; Pseudomonadota; Gammaproteobacteria; Oceanospirillales; Halomonadaceae. The record is from RNAcentral.
CCUACGGGUGGCAGCAGUGGGGAAUAUUGGACAAUGGGGGCAACCCUGAUCCAGCCAUGCCGCGUGUGUGAAGAAGGCCCUCGGGUUGUAAAGCACUUUCAGUGAGGAAGAACGCCUGGUGGUUAAUACCCAUCAGGAAAGACAUCACUCACAGAAGAAGCACCGGCUAACUCCGUGCCAGCAGCCGCGGUAAUACGGAGGGUGCGAGCGUUAAUCGGAAUUACUGGGCGUAAAGCGCGCGUAGGUGGCUUGAUAAGCCGGUUGUGAAAGCCCCGGGCUCAACCUGGGAACGGCAUCCGGAACUGUCAAGCUAGGGUGCAGGAGAGGAAGGUAGAAUUCCCGGUGUAGCGGUGAAAUGCGUAGAGUUCGGGAGGAAUACCAGUGGCGAAGGCGGCCUUCUGGACUGACACUGACACUGAGGUGCGAAAGCGUGGGUAGCAAACAGGAUUAGAUACCCUAGUAGUC